GAUGAACGCUAGCGGGAGGCUUAACACAUGCAAGUCGAGGGGCAGCACGAGGUAGCAAUACUUUGGUGGCGACCGGCGCACGGGUGAGUAACGCGUAUGUAACCUACCCUGUACAGGGGGAUAGCCCGGAGAAAUUCGGAUUAAUACCCCAUAAAGAUAUGAGAUGGCAUCAUUUUAUAUUUAAAGUUCCGACGGUACGGGAUGGGCAUGCGUAACAUUAGCUAGUUGGCAGGGUAACGGCCUACCAAGGCAGCGAUGUUUAGGGGUCCUGAGAGGGUGAUCCCCCACACUGGUACUGAGACACGGACCAGACUCCUACGGGAGGCAGCAGUGAGGAAUAUUGGUCAAUGGGCGCAAGCCUGAACCAGCCAUCCCGCGUGCAGGAAGAAGGCGCUAUGCGUUGUAAACUGCUUUUGCAGGGGAAGAAUGUUUCGCAUGUAUGCGGAAUUGACGGUACCUUGUGAAUAAGCAUCGGCUAACUCCGUGCCAGCAGCCGCGGUAAUACGUAGGGGGCGAGCGUUGUCCGAAUUUACUGGGCGUAAAGCGCGCGUAGGCGGGGUUUUUAAGUUGUGGGUGAAAUCCCGAGGCUCAACCUCGGAACUGCCUGCAAAACUGGAAGCCUUGAG
This 626-nucleotide ribosomal RNA is filed under the name uncultured Bacteroidales bacterium. Its description in RNAcentral is "bacterial SSU rRNA". It matches the Rfam family "Bacterial small subunit ribosomal RNA", at positions 28 to 646 of the family's 1533-position model. Lineage: Bacteria; Pseudomonadati; Bacteroidota; Bacteroidia; Bacteroidales. The record is from RNAcentral.